UAGUCCACGCCGUAAACGAUGUCAACUAGCCGUUUGGGACACUAAGUCCUUGGUGGCGCAGCUAACGCGAUAAGUUGACCGCCUGGGGAGUACGCCGGCAACGGUAAAACUCAAAGGAAUUGACGGGGCCCGCACAAGCGGUGGAGCAUGUGGUUUAAUUCGAUGCAACGCGAAAAACCUUACCUACCCUUGACAUCCUCAGAACUUGUUAGAGAUAACUUGGUGCCUUCGGGAACUGAGUGACAGGUGCUGCAUGGCUGUCGUCAGCUCGUGUUGUGAGAUGUUGGGUUAAGUCCCGCAACGAGCGCAACCCUCGCCCUUAGUUACCAGCAUUUAGUUGGGCACUCUAAGGGGACCGCUUGGCUAUAAGCCAGAGGAAGGUGGGGAUGACGUCAAGUCCUCAUGGCCUUUAUGUCCAGGGGCUACACACGUGCUACAAUGGAAAGGACAAAGCGCAGCUAACUCGCGAGAGUGUGCUAAUCG
Molecule: ribosomal RNA, 483 nt
Filed under: uncultured bacterium
Lineage: Bacteria
Description: bacterial SSU rRNA
Rfam family: Bacterial small subunit ribosomal RNA
Source: RNAcentral